RNAcentral lists this ribosomal RNA (254 nucleotides) under uncultured bacterium. RNAcentral describes it as "partial 16S ribosomal RNA". It matches the Rfam family "Bacterial small subunit ribosomal RNA", at positions 524 to 776 of the family's 1533-position model. The record is from RNAcentral.
GACGUAGGGCGCGAGCGUUGUCCGGAUUUAUUGGGCGUAAAGAGCUCGUAGGCGGCUUGUCGCGUCGACCGUGAAAACCUGCAGCUUAACUGUGGGCUUGCGGUCGAUACGGGCAUCACUGGAGUUCGGCAGGGGAGACUGGAAUUCCUGGUGUAGCGGUGAAAUGCGCAGAUAUCAGGAGGAACACCGGUGGCGAAGGCGGGUCUCUGGGCCGAUACUGACGCUGAGGAGCGAAAGCGUGGGGAGCGAACAGG